Molecule: ribosomal RNA, 440 nt
Filed under: uncultured bacterium
Lineage: Bacteria
Description: partial 16S ribosomal RNA
Rfam family: Bacterial small subunit ribosomal RNA
Source: RNAcentral
CCUACGGGAGGCAGCAGUGGGGAAUCUUGCACAAUGGGGGAAACCCUGAUGCAGCGACGCCGCGUGAGUGAAGAAGUAAUUCGUUAUGUAAAGCUCUAUCAGCAGGGAAGAAAAUGACGGUACCUGAGUAACAAGCCCCGGCUAACUCCGUGCCAGCAGCCGCGGUCAUACGGAGGGGGCAAGCGUUAUCCGGAUUUACUGGGUGUAAAGGGAGCGUAGACGGCAGUGCAAGUCUGGAGUGAAAGGCGGGGGCUCAACCCCCGGACUGCUCAGGAAACUGUACGGCUGGAGUGCAGGAGAGGUAAGUGGAAUUCCUGGUGUAGCAGUGAAAUGCGUAGAUAUUAGGAGGAACACCAGUGGCGAAGGCGGCUUACUGGACUGUAACUGACGUUGAGGCUCGAAGGCGUGGGGAGCAAACGGGAUUAGAUACCCGGGUAGUC